Molecule: ribosomal RNA, 514 nt
Filed under: Kluyveromyces lactis
Lineage: Eukaryota; Fungi; Ascomycota; Saccharomycetes; Saccharomycetales; Saccharomycetaceae
Description: partial large subunit ribosomal RNA
Rfam family: Eukaryotic large subunit ribosomal RNA
Source: RNAcentral
GCGGCAAAAGCUCAAAUUUGAAAUCUGGCGUCUUCGACGUCCGAGUUGUAAUUUGAAGAAGGCAACUUUGUAGCUGGUCCUUGUCUAUGUUCCUUGGAACAGGACGUCAUAGAGGGUGAGAAUCCCGUGUGGCGAGGAUCCCAGUUAUUUGUAAAGUGCUUUCGACGAGUCGAGUUGUUUGGGAAUGCAGCUCUAAGUGGGUGGUAAAUUCCAUCUAAAGCUAAAUAUUGGCGAGAGACCGAUAGCGAACAAGUACAGUGAUGGAAAGAUGAAAAGAACUUUGAAAAGAGAGUGAAAAAGUACGUGAAAUUGUUGAAAGGGAAGGGCAUUUGAUCAGACAUGGCGUUUGCUUCGGCUUUCGCUGGGCCAGCAUCAGUUUUAGCGGUUGGAUAAAUCCUCGGGAAUGUGGCUCUGCUUCGGUAGAGUGUUAUAGCCCGUGGGAAUACAGCCAGCUGGGACUGAGGAUUGCGACUUUUGUCAAGGAUGCUGGCGUAAUGGUUAAAUGCCGCCCGUC